Long non-coding RNA from Hippocampus zosterae (dwarf seahorse), 708 nucleotides. RefSeq lists it as uncharacterized. The transcript is spliced from 3 exons. NCBI's taxonomy places the organism in Eukaryota, Metazoa, Chordata, Actinopteri, Syngnathiformes, Syngnathidae. The record is from RefSeq and is a predicted model, not a curated record.
ACAUGCUCCUGAGACCGGUCUUCCUCUCGUGUUGUGACCCGUGCAUGCUGCUGAUGGAGAGUCACAUGAGGAGUCGGCUCCCUCUAUCAAUCAAUGGAAGUCACAAGCAAGUCUUCUAAUCCGGUGUCAGCUAAUCAUAGACUGUACGGUUAUUUUUACAGGAUGGGGUGCCAGGUGGUGGCGGCAACACGGUGGCUCUGCUUGGGUGUAAGUGAGAGGCAAAAGGGUGAGGAUACGCUUCGCAACACCUCCUUUCAUCUCGGCCCGGCUUGACAUCGGAACACAACGGCGCCCGUGGAGGAUGUACCGCCGCGCUCGCACGUCGUCGCAAAGUGAAGAGUGAUGAGGACUGCAGAUUGAUGUUGCGGAUGGAAGUGACAAACCACACUUGUCUCGUGCUUCAACAAGCAACCUUGUCUUUAAGUGAGCUUGCUUUCUGUUGUGAAACGCUCAACUUCUUGCCCACAAAGCAUGUUGAAUUGAUUUACUCGUCCUCAUCCUUACAUUUUUUUAAAAAUGUUGUAGCAAAAUAUAUGAACACAAACGGCGCAGCAGCACAUGUAGACAGACAAUAGAUCAAUACUCAGUAAUAUAUUCCGUAUCCUCGACAAAAUAAUAACAAAUUAGCUUCCUGAGUAUCUUUAUGCUUACAUGUAUGAAUCCCCGUUUGCUUGUCUGCGUCUACGUAGCCAAGAAAAGGUGCAUAGA